Molecule: ribosomal RNA, 841 nt
Filed under: Agrocybe chaxingu
Lineage: Eukaryota; Fungi; Basidiomycota; Agaricomycetes; Agaricales; Agrocybaceae
Description: partial large subunit ribosomal RNA
Rfam family: Eukaryotic large subunit ribosomal RNA
Source: RNAcentral
GGAUUCCCCUAGUAACUGCGAGUGAAGCGGGAAAAGCUCAAAUUUGAAAUCUGGCGGUCCUUUGCGGCCGUCCGAGUUGUAAUCUAGAGAAGUGCUACCCGCGCUGGACCGUGUACAAGUCUCCUGGAAUGGAGCGUCACAGAGGGUGAGAAUCCCGUCUUUGACACGGACUGCCAGGGCUUAUGUGGUGCGCUCUCGAAGAGUCGAGUUGUUUGGGAAUGCAGCUCUAAAUGGGUGGUAAAUUCCAUCUAAAGCUAAAUACAGGCGAGAGACCGAUAGCGAACAAGUACCGUGAGGGAAAGAUGAAAAGAACUUUGGAAAGAGAGUUAAACAGUACGUGAAAUUGCUGAAAGGGAAACGUUUGAAGUCAGUCGCGUUGGCUGGGGAUCAACCUUGCUCUUGCAGGGCGCACUCUCUGGCUCGACGGGUCAGCAUCAGUUUCGGCCGCUGGAGAAAGGCUAGGGGAAUGUGGCAUCGCUUCGGUGAUGUGUUAUAGCCCUUGGUCGUAUGCAGCGGCUGGGACUGAGGAACUCAGCCUGCCCUUAACUGGGCCGGGUCUUUUUGACCACGCUUAACGGGCUUAGGAUGCUGGCAUAAUGGCUUUAAGCGACCCGUCUUGAAACACGGACCAAGGAGUCUAACAUGUUUGCGAGUGUUUGGGUGGAAAACCCGAGCGCGUAAUGAAAGUGAAAGUUGGGAACCCUGUCGUGGGGUGCACCGACGCCCGGACCAGACCUUCUUGCGACGGCUCCGCGGUAGAGCAGGCAUGUUGGGACCCGAAAGAUGGUGAACUAUGCCUGAAUAGGGUGAAGCCAGAGGAAACUCUGGUGGAGGCUCGUAG